UAAUAAGUGUUUUAUGGCACUUUUUAAAUCCAUAUCCACCUUGUGUGCAAUGUCAGUCGAUCUUCUUCAUGGAGAUCGACCAAACAUCAACCUUUAUUUUUUAUCUCUUUGUCUGAAAAAUAUUAUGAAUAAACAAUUCAAAAUA
This 145-nucleotide unclassified non-coding RNA is filed under the name soil metagenome. Its description in RNAcentral is "partial internal transcribed spacer 1". The record is from RNAcentral.